GGAAAGUGGAAUGAUACUGGCCUUUCUGGAAUGGGAGCAGGUGUGUAUGUAUGAACUAUAGUAGAACAAGGUAGGCCAGAGAUUUUUUAAUGGAAAAUUGUUACACAAAAAUGUAGAAAAAUAAUUAAAAUGAUAUUUUUCCAGUUUUACAGCUGACUUUGGGGCAAAGGUUGUGGUUUCAAUGACCUGGCUUGGGGAAGAGGAACUUAGUAUUUUGGCUCAUCUCAGGGAGAAUCAGAGAAACUGUACACAUCCUGUGAACCAGGGCUCCACCAGACAUCGGGGAUGUAGAAGUUCACAAACCAAGAAGAGGUCCAGUGAGGAGACAGUUACGAGGUGUGAUUGAAAAGAAAUUCUCAAAGGCGGACUUCCCAGAGCUGCUUCAGGAAGAGACAAAAUGAGAUAACUGUUCAAGGCGGCAAGGAAUAUGUUGAAGGCAGUUCAUGGCAAUGUGUUUUUUACUGUAAUUAUUUCUAAAAUUCAUACACUCACUGUAUAUUUCAAUCAUACCUCAUAAUAAUGAAAAUUUUAAGAAGUGAAUAUGUCAUUAGGAAUGACAAGUCUCCAAAGAAUGAAAAUACACACACGAAAGUUAUUAAAAGAAACCAUC
RNAcentral lists this long non-coding RNA (610 nucleotides) under Fukomys damarensis (Damara mole-rat). RNAcentral's name for it is "lncRNA (ENSFDAG00000029571.1)". The record is from RNAcentral. Lineage: Eukaryota; Metazoa; Chordata; Mammalia; Rodentia; Bathyergidae.